GAUGAACGCUGGCGGCGUGCCUAAUACAUGCAAGUCGAGCGAACAGACGAGGAGCUUGCUCCUCUGACGUUAGCGGCGGACGGGUGAGUAACACGUGGAUAACCUACCUAUAAGACUGGGAUAACUUCGGGAAACCGGAGCUAAUACCGGAUAAUAUAUUGAACCGCAUGGUUCAAUAGUGAAAGACGGUUUUGCUGUCACUUAUAGAUGGAUCCGCGCCGCAUUAGCUAGUUGGUAAGGUAACGGCUUACCAAGGCGACGAUGCGUAGCCGACCUGAGAGGGUGAUCGGCCACACUGGAACUGGGACACGGUCCAGACUCCUACGGGAGGCAGCAGUAGGGAAUCUUCCGCAAUGGGCGAAAGCCUGACGGAGCAACGCCGCGUGAGUGAUGAAGGUCUUCGGAUCGUAAAACUCUGUUAUUAGGGAAGAACAAAUGUGUAAGUAACUAUGCACAUCUUGACGGUACCUAAUCAGAAAGCCACGGCUAACUACGUG
This 497-nucleotide ribosomal RNA is filed under the name uncultured bacterium. RNAcentral's name for it is "partial 16S ribosomal RNA". It matches the Rfam family "Bacterial small subunit ribosomal RNA", at positions 28 to 507 of the family's 1533-position model. The record is from RNAcentral.